This is a long non-coding RNA of Centrocercus urophasianus (Greater sage-grouse), 1575 nucleotides long. RefSeq lists it as uncharacterized. Lineage: Eukaryota; Metazoa; Chordata; Aves; Galliformes; Phasianidae. The record is from RefSeq and is a predicted model, not a curated record. The transcript has 5 exons.
CCUGAUUGCAGUAACAGUGAAAAAAGGACUAACCUGCAAACACCAGCAUGGUGAUGAGGAGAGCAACCGCGUGGACUCUGUAGCUGGGCUUAAUGUUUUCCACUUGCAGGAUGGUCAGCUGGAAAACGACAGAGAACAGCAGCUCUAUGCAGAACGCCUGCACCUCUGUCGUCUGCAUGGGGUUGCCACAACCCUGAGUGAGCACUCCCGAAUGGGAUUCCGCCAUCUCCAGCCUCCAGAUAAAGUGCAUAAAGACCCUGGCCAACACCGCAGCGACGAACUGCGCUCCGAUCUUCAGUCCCUUCGCCCUGACUGAGGUCCGUCCGCCCCACAGGGGCUGCAGGGUGCCACAAGGGUUGCACGUGCUGCCAGGCAGCGUCAAGCCGUGCAGGACGGUGAAGCCGUAGGUGAGGGUGAGGGCGGUGUGCGGCCUGGGCUCCGUGUUGCCCAGCAGGCUGAGCUCGUUGGUGCAGGCGCACACCUGGAAGGUGCUCAGCAGCUCCAGGAGCAACGAGCAAAGAUCUGGGUGUUUGUACAGGCGGCGAAGAGCCAAACUCCGGCACAGGCCCACGGCUGCCACGACGGCCACCAUCAGCCCCAGCGACGUCCAGAUGCCGCCCGCAGCCAUGGCCACAGUCCCACUCGCUGAGUGACUGGAAAAAGGAGUUCGCUCCGCUCCAGCCUCACUGCCUGCAGGGAGAAAGGAAGAAAGAGGGAGGGAAAAUAGCAACACUUGGCCUUACAAGGUUUGGCCAACGUACAAUGAAAAAGGCAUUGGGAUACGCAUGAAAAAAGAGGAGGAAAAAGAAUUUGAGCUGCUAUUUCUAUUAAGAAUGGAUUACUGAGGCCAGGAAAGUCCAGAUCUGAGAGCCAGGCCAUGCUGUGGGCAGGGCAGCUGGGAAAGAGACAGCAACCACAGCACACCCUGUGAUUUCUGCAGGAUUACCAAUGGCUGGAGAUGAGUUUUCAAGAAAUGAAGCUCUUCAGAUCACUGAGAAAACAAAGUCCAAGUCAAAACCAGGAACCAGUACACCUCCACAGUGCAGGACAAAUCUGCCCAUCUCUUUAUGCUUGAAUUAGCAGCUUGCCUCAAAACUGGGAUCAGAGCAUAAGCGUGGAUCUGAACACUCCUGCUAACUGUGGGGACAAGUUUCCUGUGAGCUUUACAUCGUGGGGAGAGCAAACCCCAAUCUCCUGCAGUAUGAGGUAACAUCCCUGCGAUACGCACAUCCUGCUGUGAAGCACAGCAGCAGAGCAGAGCCCGUUUCCCUUCUUUCCUUUUUUGGAUCUGCGUGCACACGGUCCCUAAUGGAGCCGGUUCUGAGGAUACCAAGAACAGAAACCAAGUCACUGCAGCGCCUCACGACUACCGGCGAUCCCCUUCCUCGUCGUUAUCACCGUAAUCGCGAACCAUCCUUGACGCCCCUCACCAACAGCAGCUCCAGGUACCGGACACCGAACGAUCAGCCCAUCUCAAAGCUCCAACACAACCCACCGACCGCAAACUUCUCCCCCAGCUCUGGGCUGCCCACCUUGGUGGAGGGGGCGGACCCUUGGACCCCUCCGGAGCCAAUG